This 251-nucleotide ribosomal RNA is filed under the name uncultured prokaryote. RNAcentral describes it as "partial 16S rRNA". It matches the Rfam family "Bacterial small subunit ribosomal RNA", at positions 525 to 775 of the family's 1533-position model. The record is from RNAcentral.
ACGUAGGGUGCGAGCGUUAAUCGGAAUUACUGGGCGUAAAGCGUGCGCAGGCGGUUAUAUAAGUCAGAUGUGAAAUCCCCGGGCUCAACCUGGGAACUGCAUUUGAGACUGUAUGACUAGAGUGUGGCAGAGGGGGGGGGAAUUCCCAGUGGAGCGGGGGAAUGCGUAGAGAUGGUGAGGAACACCGGUGGCGAAAGCCGCACCCUGGGGCAAAUCUGACGCUGCUGCCCGAAAGCGUGGGGAGCAAACAG